This 362-nucleotide ribosomal RNA is filed under the name uncultured bacterium. RNAcentral describes it as "partial 16S ribosomal RNA". It matches the Rfam family "Bacterial small subunit ribosomal RNA", at positions 338 to 716 of the family's 1533-position model. The record is from RNAcentral.
CCUACGGGAGGCAGCAGUCGGGAAUAUUGCGCAAUGGAGGAAACUCUGACGCAGGGACGCCGCGUAGAGGAAGAAGUUUUUCGGAAUGUAAACUAUUGUCGUUAGGGAAGAGAAAGGACAGAACCGAAGGAGGAAGCGCCGGCUAACUACGUGCCAGCAGCCGCGGUAAUACGUAGGGAGCGAGCGUUAUCCGGAAUUCUGGGGGGUAAAGGGUGCGUAGACGGGACAACAAGUUAGUUGUGAAAUCCCUCGGCUUAACUGAGGAACUGCAACUAAAACUCUUUUUCUUGAGUGCAGGAGUGGUAAGUGGACUUCCUCGUGUAGCGGUGAAAUGCGUAGAUAUUAGGCGGAACCCCAGUGGC